This 76-nucleotide small RNA is filed under the name Xanthomonas phaseoli pv. syngonii. RNAcentral describes it as "Xanthomonas axonopodis pv. syngonii sX9 sRNA". It matches the Rfam family "Xanthomonas sRNA sX9". Lineage: Bacteria; Pseudomonadati; Pseudomonadota; Gammaproteobacteria; Lysobacterales; Lysobacteraceae. The record is from RNAcentral.
AUGUACCACUCGUGCACUGCUGUUCCGGGCGCGCUGUCGGCGCCCACCUGAAGACUGUUCGCAAUGCUUGUUAGCC